Molecule: transfer RNA, 87 nt
Filed under: Methylobacter sp.
Lineage: Bacteria; Pseudomonadati; Pseudomonadota; Gammaproteobacteria; Methylococcales; Methylococcaceae
Description: tRNA-Leu
Rfam family: tRNA
About the family: Transfer RNA (tRNA) molecules are approximately 80 nucleotides in length. Their secondary structure includes four short double-helical elements and three loops (D, anti-codon, and T loops).
Source: RNAcentral
GCCGAGGUGGUGAAAUUGGUAGACACGCCAGCUUCAGGUGCUGGUAGGGGCAACCCUGUGGAGGUUCAAAUCCUCUCCUCGGCACCA